This 273-nucleotide long non-coding RNA is filed under the name Homo sapiens (human). Its description in RNAcentral is "HSALNT0119713". The record is from RNAcentral. Lineage: Eukaryota; Metazoa; Chordata; Mammalia; Primates; Hominidae.
CUGAGUUUUGCCAUGUUGCCCAGACUGGUCUCAAACUCCUGAGCUCAAGUGAUCCUGCCUCAGCUGCCCAAACUGCGGAGAUUACAGAUGGACAGAGGGGAGCCAGGGCACGGCAUGGCUUGACAUGGCUCGUGCUUGUGCCCCAAGAAACGGUUAAACUACUGACCCUGAAGGCAAAGGAGAGUCGGCUGCGCCGUUGUGCAUGGGAGCGGCUGGCUCAAGCAGCCAAGACAGAGCGGACAGUGUUAAGAGAGCUGCUAAUGAGAGAGCUGC